Molecule: transfer RNA, 65 nt
Filed under: Tetrabothrius erostris
Lineage: Eukaryota; Metazoa; Platyhelminthes; Cestoda; Tetrabothriidea; Tetrabothriidae
Description: tRNA-Trp
Source: RNAcentral
ACAAAGUUAAGUUAUUUUGACUAUAUGUUUUCAAAACAUAAAGAGGGUUGUUAUCCCACUUUGUG